Peromyscus maniculatus bairdii (prairie deer mouse) is the source of this 524-nucleotide non-coding RNA. Lineage: Eukaryota; Metazoa; Chordata; Mammalia; Rodentia; Cricetidae. The record is from RefSeq and is a predicted model, not a curated record.
CUCCAUAGCAACAAGCCCAGCUCUGGCUGGAGCAUAUAACACCCUGGGACUGCAGCCACCAGCAGCUCACCCACAAGAGAGGUGAACUCAACUAAGAUGUUGAGGUUCUGAGGUCUGGGGGUGCCCAAACUCAUAAAUGGGGGGCAUCUUUCAAUCCACACAGUAUCUUGUUUCCUGGCAUUAUAUAUAUUAACGGACACUUCUGACUACUCCAUACCAGAGUGAAUCAGGAGCCAAAUUCCAUUUAGGAAAUUGAAGGAUCUCAUGACCUAGAAAUCUGGGAGAAGGAUGUGACACCCCGAGUGAACUGUCUGCAGCUCCCACUCCUGUCUACCACUGCUGUCCUUGACAUGGAUGACAGCAUCGGCCUAGUCUCUCUUGCCUCCUCUCCUUCUCACCUGCUCCUCAGUUUCAAGCACCUUCUAGCACCUUUCAUCCUUAAUGGCAUGUCUUCCCAAAGCUUAUUUCUGGAAACAGAGAAGAAGAGACAGAGUUCAACUUGAGCCCAAUAAAUCUCAGCCAAA